ACGAACGCUGGCGGCGUGCUUAACACAUGCAAGUCGAGCGGUAAGGCCCUUUCGGGGGUACACGAGCGGCGAACGGGUGAGUAACACGUGGGUGACCUGCCCUCAGCUCUGGGAUAAGCCUGGGAAACUGGGUCUAAUACCGGAUAUGACUUCGCAUCGCAUGGUGUGGGGUGGAAAGUUUUUCGGCUGGGGAUGGGCCCGCGGCCUAUCAGCUUGUUGGUGGGGUGAUGGCCUACCAAGGCGACGACGGUAGCCAGCCUGAGAGGGCGACCGGCCACACUGGGACUGAGACACGGCCCAGACUCCUACGGGAGGCAGCAGUGGGGAAUAUUGCGCAAUGGGCGGAAGCCUGACGCAGCGACGCCGCGUGGGGAUGACG
RNAcentral lists this ribosomal RNA (379 nucleotides) under uncultured bacterium. RNAcentral describes it as "bacterial SSU rRNA". It matches the Rfam family "Bacterial small subunit ribosomal RNA", at positions 29 to 413 of the family's 1533-position model. The record is from RNAcentral.